This is a long non-coding RNA of Labeo rohita (rohu), 767 nucleotides long. RefSeq lists it as uncharacterized. The record is from RefSeq and is a predicted model, not a curated record. Lineage: Eukaryota; Metazoa; Chordata; Actinopteri; Cypriniformes; Cyprinidae. The transcript is spliced from 8 exons.
UUCUCCCCCAAUUCUACUUUGUCCAGCAGAUUGACAGUGCACAGCAGACCACUGCUGAACUGUCAGUUUCUGGACCAACUUCCAUAAAUCGCACUGAUUCUGCCCUUGAUCCACAUAUUUAUGCCGUGAAAAACUUGUUCUUCCACAUCAGCAGCGGGAGCAUCAGGGUUUGGCUUUAUAUGGUUGUAUACGAGAAAUCCAUGUCGGAUAUUUGACAUUUAAACUGUGUGGAGUGUUUUGGAAGAACGACCCCAUAAUACAUCCUCCACUGCUUCCACGUGCACGAGAUAUGAUGUGACAGAUGCCUGGUCACUGCUGGAAUUUGUGCUUGGCCAGACAAACAUGAGUCAAGCAAUUACUGUCACUUUGGAGGAUGAAUUAAACACAGAAGCAUAUGCACGUCCAAGUGCACGGUGAUUGAUUUCCAUCUUAAUCAAAGCGGGCAAACAAGGACUCGGAUGCACAGCACGCAGACCCAGGAGAGGGACACAUGGAGGAAGGAAGAACAGAAUAAAAUGAGUUAUGAGUUCCUGACAAGAAAUACAUACGCAAAACCUGAAGCCCAAACACAUGGCUGUGAACAUGAGUGAGGAAAAUGGUCGUGACUUUUAAAGAGCAGGCAUCAUCGUGACAACAGCUGUUGGGCUUCCAAAAGAUUCGUAAUUACACGUACCUUUCCACCUUCUUCUGACAUCAUUCUGCCGUCUCCAGCCCUCCUCAAGAUGAUCUGUGUUGAUGAGGUGAGGAGAGAGCGGAGGAAACUCUGC